AUGACUUUAACCUUGAUGCGAGGUAAGUAGCUUAGUUUGAGCUUAAAGGUUGAAACAAUCAAAUUAAAGAGAGUCUCUACUUGUUGAUAUGUGUACUAGUAAGGGUAAGAUCUAUCCAAACUAAGAGAGGGUAAGGAUUAUAGUUGUUUAAACUCCUAACCUUAGAAAACACCCCAAGAUAAUUGAGUGAAAAUAAUAAGUUUGGGGGAUUUGUGUAUCUCUCGAGUGAUGUAAGGAUAAAUUUGACCAUUAUGGGUCGGGAACAAACCAUUCAUAAGCUUGAUAUGUUGGCAUGAGUUCACACACACACGUUGAGUAUUGCAACUGAUAAGUA
Molecule: long non-coding RNA, 334 nt
Filed under: Olea europaea (common olive)
Lineage: Eukaryota; Viridiplantae; Streptophyta; Magnoliopsida; Lamiales; Oleaceae
Description: long non-coding RNA (OEUR_LNC013707)
Source: RNAcentral